RNAcentral lists this ribosomal RNA (490 nucleotides) under uncultured bacterium. RNAcentral's name for it is "bacterial SSU rRNA". It matches the Rfam family "Bacterial small subunit ribosomal RNA", at positions 30 to 504 of the family's 1533-position model. The record is from RNAcentral.
CGAACGCUGGCGGCGUGGAUUAGGCAUGCAAGUCGAGCGCGAACGUCUUCUUCGGAAGGCAAGUAGAGCGGCGAACUGGUGAGUACAAGACGGGUGACGUGCCCGGACGUGGGGGACAACCUCGAGAAAUUGGGGCUAAUACCGCAUGUUCUCCGUCACUUAGACGCGACGGAACAAAGGCGCACUUCGGUGCGCCGCGUCCGGAUCGGCCCGUCUCCCAUUAGCUAGUUGGUGGGGUAAUGGCCUACCAAGGCGACGAUGGGUAGCUGGCCCGAGAGGGUGGUCAGCCACACUGGGACUGAGAUACGGCCCAGACUCCUACGGGGGGCAGCAGUCUAGAGGCAUCUACAAUGGACGAAAGUCAGAUAGUGCGACGCCGCGUGUGGGAUGACGGCCCUUGGGUUGUAAACCACUGUCAGGAGGGAAUAAAGUCCCGUUGGUAAUGCUGCGGGGCCUGAAGGUACCUCCAGAGGAAGCACCGGCUAACUCC